RNAcentral lists this unclassified non-coding RNA (1350 nucleotides) under Hevea brasiliensis (rubber tree). The record is from RNAcentral. Lineage: Eukaryota; Viridiplantae; Streptophyta; Magnoliopsida; Malpighiales; Euphorbiaceae.
CAUACCUAAAACCACAAGGCUUCGCCGGGAAGCUCUUCGUCACUGCGAGUUUAACUAUAAGCCUCGGGAAGAGCUCUCAUCUUUCUUUCAUAUGUUUAUUAGAUCUCUCCUUUAGCAUCUUGGGGGAAACGUUGGGGUAACCAUGCCUGACGUGCAAGCUCUCGUCAAUGAUUUUCUUAACAAGCUUAAGAAGCGGAAGAUCGAGGGCUCUCAGGCCACCUCAAGGCAGACGGCGGAGUUGCUACGGUCGGUAAUUUCACAGCAGCGAGUACCUUAUAACAACCAGGCUGGAGCUUUGAUUGAUGCCGUGAAGGCUGUUGGAGAGCAGCUAAUUGCUGCAAAUCCUGUUGAGCUGGCUGUGGGUAAUAUAGUGAGGCGUGUUUUACACAUUAUUAGGGAGGAGGAUCUUUCUCUGACCACAGCUGCUAUGGCGGGGUUGAACUUAUCAGCUGUAAGUGAUGAUGAGGAUGAUGAGGAACGAGAUGAUCUCCCAGUUUUGUCAGCUGCUGUCGUUGCUGCUGCUGCAAGAAGUACUUUGCGUCCACCUUCCUUGCAGACUCUCCUGGAGGACAUGCCUGACUCAGCAGCUAUUCCUCAUACUUCUUCAUCAGGGGGUGAUUCUGAAGGAAAGAGCAAAUCUGCUGAUAAAAGUUCAAGAAGUCGGAAGUUGAAACAUGAUGUCAUUGAAGCAGUUAAUGAGCUUAUACAAGAUAUUACUACUUGUCAUGAACAGAUUGCUGAGCAAGCAGUGGAACAUAUUCAUCAAAAUGAGGUAAUAUUAACUUUAGGCAGUUCAAGAACAGUAUUGGAAUUUCUUUGUGCUGCUAAGGAGAAGAAAAGAUCAUUCAGAGUAUUUGUUGCUGAGGGUGCUCCAAGGUAUCAAGGGCAUCUUCUUGCCAAAGAAUUGGUUGCAAGAGGUUUACAGACCACUUUGAUUACUGAUUCUGCAGUUUUUGCCAUGAUUUCUCGAGUGAACAUGGUUAUAGUGGGAGCUCAUGCUGUCAUGGCUAAUGGUGGCGUUAUAGCACCUGUUGGGUUGAAUAUGGUUGCACUUGCAGCUCAAAAACAUGCUGUUCCAUUUGUUGUGCUUGCUGGUAGUCACAAGCUGUGCCCCUUAUAUCCACACAAUCCUGAGGUCUUACUAAAUGAAUUAAGAUCCCCUUCUGAGCUGCUGGAUUUUGGAGAAUUCUCUGAUUGCUUGGAUUUUAGGAGUGUCACUGGCUCUCCUCUUCUGCAUGUUGUAAAUCCAACAUUUGACUAUGUACCACCGAAGCUUGUUAGUCUGUUCAUCACUGACACCGGAGGGCAUAAUCCUUCAUACAUGUAUCGACUCAUUGCUGAUUAUUAUUC